RNAcentral lists this ribosomal RNA (501 nucleotides) under Marinobacter goseongensis. Its description in RNAcentral is "bacterial SSU rRNA". It matches the Rfam family "Bacterial small subunit ribosomal RNA", at positions 87 to 584 of the family's 1533-position model. The record is from RNAcentral. Lineage: Bacteria; Pseudomonadati; Pseudomonadota; Gammaproteobacteria; Pseudomonadales; Marinobacteraceae.
GCUGACGAGCGGCGGACGGGUGAGUAAUGCUUAGGAAUCUGCCCAGUAGUGGGGGAUAGCCCGGGGAAACCCGGAUUAAUACCGCAUACGCCCUUUGGGGGAAAGCAGGGGAUCUUCGGACCUUGCGCUAUUGGAUGAGCCUAAGUCGGAUUAGCUAGUUGGUGGGGUAAAGGCCCACCAAGGCGACGAUCCGUAGCUGGUCUGAGAGGAUGAUCAGCCACAUCGGGACUGAGACACGGCCCGAACUCCUACGGGAGGCAGCAGUGGGGAAUAUUGGACAAUGGGGGCAACCCUGAUCCAGCCAUGCCGCGUGUGUGAAGAAGGCUUUCGGGUUGUAAAGCACUUUCAGUGAGGAGGAAGGCUUUCAGAUUAAUACUCUGGAGGAUUGACGUUACUCACAGAAGAAGCACCGGCUAACUCCGUGCCAGCAGCCGCGGUAAUACGGAGGGUGCAAGCGUUAAUCGGAAUUACUGGGCGUAAAGCGCGCGUAGGUGGUUUGAU